Molecule: long non-coding RNA, 745 nt
Organism: Patiria miniata (bat star)
Lineage: Eukaryota; Metazoa; Echinodermata; Asteroidea; Valvatida; Asterinidae
Exons: 2
Source: RefSeq, a predicted model, not a curated record
AAAAAUUGAAGUUAGGACUACAGUUUUAACACAAUACUUUCUGCAUAUUAACUGUAGUUUCACUACUUCCGAAAACUGUAGUAUUACUUUUUAAAAAUUGAAGUUAGGACUACAGUUUUAACACAAUACUUUCUGCAUAUUAACUGUAGUUUCACUACUUCCGAAAACUGUAGUAUUACUGUAGGGAUCUGGGAAUUCCCCUUUAACAAGUUACGUACGCGCCAUAAGCAUGAUGACGUCACUGACUCGUGGUUGCUAAGUGCGUUCGGCAACUACAUAGUUACAACAAAAACGUUCUUAUAAUUUCUCAAACUUUAUUCUUACUAUUUUAUUGGGCAUGUAUAAGUUGGCAAAAUACAUUUAUAGUUUUCUCAUAAUAUUAGAUCACUCCUGAAAUAUGAUAUUUUACUAAAGUAAAUCUGGGUUUUUGUGCUUCGGACUUCUUCGGGCUUUUCCGGAAGUAAGUGGCCUACGUGCAGGAUUGGCACGUCCUGUUCCUUUUUCUUCGGACCAUGCCGUUGCAUGAUGUGAGCCAAAUUCACAUCAAAAAACCUUCUUUGGCGAGCUAAAAUCUGAAGGCCCAUAUCUGAACAGCCCACCAACUGAAGUGAAGUGCUGUAUAGCUGCUUUUGGAGUCAUUUAAGGAAAGAUUUGAAGAUGUCGGGGGUUUUUAUAUUCCAUUGAAAUAUUGUAUCUCAACUGGAUCAUCAAUAAAUCAACCAAUCAACUAAUGACAGAAACCGAU